GAAGACAACAUCUUAACUCUCCCAAAACACCACCAUCAUCACAAACAACCCCAUUUUGUGAAUUUUCUUCAGCUAUUCUUUAUCUCCCAGAACUACUUUCCUUCCUGUUUUUCUUUCUCUCAAGCGCAUACAGCUUUUCUCAAGGAUACUUUUCACAUUAAGGAUUUCCCGGUUCAUUAUGUGGCCAAGAGUGAUUAUUACUUUUACAACUUUCUAUCAUAUAAACUUAUUAUUUAUCAUUUACUGGAUUGAUGGUAAAUGAUAUACUUUAUUAGUUGGUUAAGCAAUUAUGAUUUCAUUGAUUAAACAAAGCUAAAGAGAUGAGUACUGAAAACAAGAGAGACGCUGAGUUUGGUUAUGGAGUGGGUGAAGUUGAUUCCUCAAUGCUUUGCAUCCUGGCUUAAUAUAUGACACUAAGUAAGAGGAUUAAGGUGAGUUUUGCUUCUUUUUUUGAUUAAUUCUAGAAAAAUCAAUCCAAUUCUUGUUAUUAAGUAAUAUUUAGAUAAAUUUAUAUUAAAUUAAAGUUUUAAUUUUUAUAUUUUAUUCAUUAAAAAAAUAGUCAUGCUAUUGUUUUAAACAAUUUUGGUAUAAUUUCCAAUUUUUAUUAAAAGAAAUGUGCUAAUAUGUAAUUGUUUUAACAGCGGCCACCUUUGAGAUGAUAUAGACAGUUUUAGUUCUUUCAUCCUAUUUUAAAUGUUACUUACAUUUUUUUUUUAAAUAUGAUAAAGACACAUUAUGCUCCAUUUUUUACAUAGUUGAGCGUCUCUAAAAAUAAUUAAAUGGAUAUUUGAGUUCUUGCAACAAAAAAUUUAAAACCACAUUUGUCCUUGAGCUCUUCCACUCAAAUUUACUUUAUUCUAAUUUUUAAAAAAUUAUAAAUUAAAUUAUUUUAUAUUAAUCGUCCUUCUUAUUUUUAUUUUUUCUUCUGUAUAAAUAAUUAAAACCACGUAAUGUAUUUAUAAUUUAAUUAUUAACUGUGAUAAAGUUGUCUAUGUGUAAAACAAUCGACACGUUGAAAAUGAAAUUUAGAUACGUAUGUGAUUAAUUCAUGUGUUUUCUUUAAGAACUCUAUUAUUUACUUAAGCUAAUAGAAGGUUGACAGUUUUUGACAUUGUGGUGGGGAGUUAUUGUGGCAUUUUAAGUGGAUUCUUUUCUACUGAUGGUGUUUCUUGGGGUGAGAUCUAGAUUUUUUUUAGCAUGUUUUUUACCUUUUUUUUUUCUCGAACUUUUGUGUAUUUUAUUGGUAUUGUGCGUCUUGUGCAUAUUUAGGAUCUUUAUGUAUUCUUUUGGGGUUUUUAGUUGCCUAUCAUUUAUUUGUUGUUAAAAAAUAAACGAGAGGUUGACUAAUAUAUAUAUAUAUAUAUAUAUAUAUAUAUAUAUAUAUAUAUAUAUAUAUAUAUAUAUAUAUAUAUAUAUAUAUAUAUAUUUUUUUUUUUUGAUUAAGGGGAGGGCCUAAGCCCAAGUGGUUGACUAAUAUAUUUUAAAUAUGCUAAGAGGGUUAAAAUUUUAAGAAACCCCUCUUAAAUCCUCCAACAGACAUUUAUUAAAUUUUAAAGUUUUUGUUGAUCAGUGUUGAUAGACAAUUGUGACAAAAUUCUUUAAGAACUUUACCGACAGUUACAAGUCUUCUAAUCAAUUGAAUAAUGUCCUAAUCACCUAGUUAGACUUCAAAUAUUUUUGGUGAUUUUAAUUAAGAAAGGAGAUAAAAUAUUUUUGCUAUCCAUGAACUUUUACCACUUCUCAAUUAUAAUAGAUUCAUAUUUUCUCUUUUUUUAAUAAUAAAAACACAUCUCUUAGUGAGAUGGUAAAAGAAAAAGCAAAUAGAUAAAAUGUUGCAUGGUUAUACUUCUCUUCACAUGAGUAAAAUGUAUAUACUACAAGAAAAAGGGUUUGCGGGGAUAUUAUUUUUUUUAAUCAAGCUUUUAUUAUAAAGAACCAAUAGUUCUAUCGAAGAGAUUACAAAGAGCGGGACGAAACAAACAAAAGCCCCGGAAAAAAUUUACAAGCCAAAUAUAAUCUAAGAAUAAUACAAAAAAGGGUCAUUUGUAAACUCAAAGAAAUUAUAAUUUUGUGCCGGUAAUUUUCCCGAUGAAGGACCAUCUCCACCAGAGCUCCUUAACACUCCAAACAAUGUCUGAAACACUCCAACUAUAUUUUCGGAAAAUGAUCUCAUUCCUAAACUUCCAAAUAGACCAACAAGCCGACAACCACAACGAUCCAUCCGUACCGGCUCUAACAUUGUGCUUUUUGCAAAAAUUAUGCCAAACCAAAAAACAAUUCCCAAUAUCUUCAAACUUGUAAUCUACCAAACC
Vicia villosa (hairy vetch) is the source of this 2312-nucleotide long non-coding RNA. RefSeq lists it as uncharacterized. The record is from RefSeq and is a predicted model, not a curated record. The transcript has 3 exons. NCBI's taxonomy places the organism in Eukaryota, Viridiplantae, Streptophyta, Magnoliopsida, Fabales, Fabaceae.